ACCGAGAUGAAUACCCAUGGACCUAACACGUCCAUGGGCUGACAGUAUCGAGAGAAGAAGCCCCGGCUAACUCUGUGCCAGCAGCCGCGGUAAUACGAGGGGGGCAAGCGUUGUUCGGAAUUACUGGGCGUAAAGGGUUCGUAGGUGGCCGCUUAAGUCAGACGUGAAAUCCCUCAGCUUAACUGGGGAACUGCGUCUGAUACUGAGCGGCUUGAGUGCAGGAGAGGGAUGCGGAAUUCCAGGUGUAGCGGUGAAAUGCGUAGAUAUCUGGAGGAACACCGGUGGCGAAGGCGGCAUCCUGGACUGUAACUGACACUGAGGAACGAAAGCCAGGGGAGCAAACGGGAUUAGAUACCCCGGUAGUCCUGGCCCUAAACGAUGAAUGCUUGGUGUGGCGGGUAUCGAUCCCUGCUGUGCCGAAGUUAACGCGAUAAGCAUUCCGCCCGGGGAGUACGGUCGCAAGGCUG
Molecule: ribosomal RNA, 467 nt
Filed under: uncultured Acidobacteriota bacterium
Lineage: Bacteria; Pseudomonadati; Acidobacteriota
Description: bacterial SSU rRNA
Rfam family: Bacterial small subunit ribosomal RNA
Source: RNAcentral